RNAcentral lists this long non-coding RNA (833 nucleotides) under Manacus vitellinus (golden-collared manakin). Its description in RNAcentral is "lncRNA (ENSMVIG00005018993.1)". Lineage: Eukaryota; Metazoa; Chordata; Aves; Passeriformes; Pipridae. The record is from RNAcentral.
ACCAGAGCCCAGGUCCUGCUGGCCCUGCUCCUCUCCCUGCCUUCACCUGCAGCUACUCCAACACCUGCAACAAGCUCUGUGGCUACUCUAAUCCACCAGGACAGGCCCUGCAGCUUCUCUGACCCCAGGGAGAAGCCCCGUGGCUACUCUAAUCCACCAGGAAAAGCCCUGUAGUUACUCUAACCCCCAUAACAAGCCCUGUCACUACUCUAAUCCCACAAAGAGACCCUGAGGCUACUCCAACCAUUUUGACAGCUCCUGUGGCUACUCCAAACAUGUGACACCUCCUGUGGCUAUCCAAGAUCCUGUGGCUAUCCAAUCACUGUGACAUCUGCUUUGGCUAUCCAACCAUUGUGAUGCCUCCUGUGGCCACUCCAACUCCUCUAAAUGUUUACUUGGCAUCAGUGGGACUAAGUCACUGUGCCCAGAACCAGGAUUUUUUUCAUUCCUUUCAUUUCAUCUUCUCUGUUUCUUCCUCUCCUAAGUUUGGCCCCCCGUGCCCUGUGACCUCUGCUGCCUUGGCACCCGUGUGACUCCAUCAAACCCAAAACUGCCCAGGAGGAGAACGCUGCAUUUAAUCAACCCAGAACAGCAGAACAACAUAAAGGUGACACGGCCAAGAAAGUCCUCAAACACAGACACCACUGGCCACAACUGCAGUGAGACAACACAACAUUUCACUUCCAUCAGAGGAAAAAAGGAAAAUAGAAAAAAAGAAACCAGUGGAAGGCUUAAGAUCAGCUCGACAGAGCAGAGCUCACAGAUGGUAUGUGCUGUCUUGAAAUCUUUCCUUAUAGUUUAUAUUUCCAUUUUAAGUUUUAUGCUCUAUUUUU